AUUGAACGCUGGCGGCAUGCCUUACACAUGCGAGUCGAACGGCAGCACGGGUGCUUGCACCUGGUGGCGAGUGGCGAACGGGUGAGUAAUACAUCGGAACAUGUCCUGUAGCGGGGGAUAGCCCGGCGAAAGCCGGAUUAAUACCGCAUACGAUCUACGGAUGAAAGCGGGGGACCUUCGGGCCUCGCGCUAUAGGGUUGGCCGAUGGCUGAUUAGCUAGUUGGUGGGGUAAAGGCCUACCAAGGCGACGAUCAGUAGCUGGUCUGAGAGGACGACCAGCCACACUGGGACUGAGACACGGCCCAGACUCCUACGGGAGGCAGCAGUGGGGAAUUUUGGACAAUGGGCGAAAGCCUGAUCCAGCAAUGCCGCGUGUGUGAAGAAGGCCUUCGGGUUGUAAAGCACUUUUGUCCGGAAAGAAAUCCUUGGCCCUAAUACGGUCGGGGGAUGACGGUACCGGAAGAAUAAGCACCGGCUAACUACGUG
This 486-nucleotide ribosomal RNA is filed under the name uncultured bacterium. RNAcentral describes it as "partial 16S ribosomal RNA". It matches the Rfam family "Bacterial small subunit ribosomal RNA", at positions 30 to 507 of the family's 1533-position model. The record is from RNAcentral.